GAGCAAGCGUUGUUCGGAAUCACUGGGCGUAAAGGGUGUCUAGGCGGUCAGGUAAGUGAGAUGUGAAAUGCCCCGGCUUACCCGGGGACCUGCAUCUCACUGCCUGGCUUGAGUAUGGGAGAGGAUGGGGGAAUUCCUGGUGUAGCGGUGAAAUGCGUAGAUAUCAGGAGGAACACCGGUGGCGAAAGCGCUCAUCUGGCCCAAUACUGACGCUGAAGCACGAAAGCUAGGGGAGCAAACGGG
RNAcentral lists this ribosomal RNA (243 nucleotides) under uncultured bacterium. RNAcentral describes it as "partial 16S ribosomal RNA". It matches the Rfam family "Bacterial small subunit ribosomal RNA", at positions 532 to 776 of the family's 1533-position model. The record is from RNAcentral.